GCGCUUUUAGCACAGAAAAGGACGCAGCAAGACCGCAUGGUUUUAGUUCUACACAUGCGGGGCGGCGGCGGACAACAUGGCUACUCUUCACUUGGCUGUAUUUUGGACUUCGCGUUUCGGUUGAACUUUAUCAUACAAAUUUCACUCUUUGUAAUGUGAAACAAAAUGUAUCAGUCAAAUUGUAGUACUGAGAACAACACUACGACAUUCUGUAGGUAAAAAUGUACUUAAAUUUGCAAAGAAGAAAGUGACUUUUGACAUGAGGACUUUUGGUCAAGUAUUUCACCCAAGCCUUUUUUUAUGAGCACAUCUCACAGUGGUCUAAUUUUGCAGUCGAGUUUACAGCCCGGCUUGAGAACUCCCUCGGAGUUUUUCCCUCGGAGUUUUCGCUGGGCAGAGAAUUCCUCCAAGUUGGACAGAACAUUGUCGCCGGCGGCGUACACAACCAACACGCUGGUGGCAGAGACCAACUUUGAUGUUGAGCUUGCGAGUAGAGCUUGAGAGGUCCAGGAGUUUGAACAAUCUUCUGAAAACAACCAGAACUGUAAGAGGAAUUGAACAUUUAAAUCGACCCAUUCUCCUGUUGAACUUUCGCUUUUUGCUUGCGAGCUCCGUCAAGGUUGGUGAGAGAAGCUCUAUUGGAACUGAAUUACAUUGAAAAGAGGACUUGAUGUACUGAAUUUGAGAACUGUUUAUUUUUGACACUUAUUUUUGCUGGCUGUUGUCAGAACUUUAAAACUUUUAUCUGUGGAUUGUGUGGUAUGGGUGUGGCUACAAGUCGUCCAAGUGAAAAGACAAGAACUUUCAUGACUUUAAAAAUGACCUUUGGUUUUGUGUUUCAAAACCAAAUACAUUUUUGCUGACUGUUGUCAGAACUCUAAAACUUUUAUCUGUGGAUUGUGUGGUAUGGGUGUAGCUACAAGUCGUCCAAGUGAAAAGACAAGAACUUUCAUGACUUUAAAAAUGACCUUUGGUUUUGUGUUUCAAAACCAAAUACAUUUUUGCUGACUGUUGUCAGAACUCUAAAACUUUUAUCUGUGGAUUGUGUGGUAUGGGCGUGGCUACAAGUCGUCCAAGUGAAAAGGCAAUAACUUAUAAAGUGACUUUUGGUUUUGUGUUUCAAAACUGAUUUUGGAAUUUUUGCUGACUGUUGUCAGAACUUAAAACUUUUAUAUGUGGAUUGUGUGGUAUACCCAUACCACACAAUCUACAAGUCGUCCAAGUGACAAGACAAUAACUUUAAAAGAGACUUUUGGUUUUUGUGUUUCAAAACUGAACACAUUUUUGCUGACUGUUGUCAGAACUCUCAAACUUUUAUCUGUGGAUUGUGUGAUACGGGUGUGGCUACAAGCAAGUCGACCAAGUGGUAAGACAAGAUCAUUAAGAUGACGUUAAGUGAUACCAGAGAUGAUGACCUACUCUUAAUUGAUGCAGCCUGUCACUGGCAGUUUGAACUUCAUGCAUAGCAAGAAUUUGGAACUUCUUCAUUUUGUACAGACUGAUACCAGAGGUGAUACUCAUUGAUGCAGCCUGGCAGUUUUGGACUUCAGGCCUGUCAAGGAAUUUGUUUUCUGGUGCAUGAUGGUGAUCUAAGUGAACUUGACUGUGAAUUACAUUGAUGUUCGUUUUCUUGACAAACACCUACAGCGAAGGAGCCUUAAAGGCACUGGACACUAUUGUUUUCUGGUGCAUGAUGGUGAUCUAAGUGAACCUGACGGUGAAUUACAUUGAUGUUCGUGGUCUUGACAAACACCUACAGGGAAGGAGCCUUAGAGGCACUGGACACUAUUGAUUGGACGCGAGUCUUGGAAGAUGACAUCAGCCUGAGAUGACAACAGAGAUGCACGGAAGACUCUGGCUGGAUUGAGGAUCAAGAGGACAAGAGCUAAGGACUGACUGGAGCAAGUCUAAUCAAGAUGUCGAUCAACCAUCAUCUGGAUCACAAGGGCGCUCUUUAUCCGGAAAUGGCAACCCCUCUCAAUUUUUGCUAAGCAUAGAAAUUCGUCGCCAAUUAGUAUUUUCUGCUAACAGCUUUAUGAAACUGGGCCUGCACCUUGGGCUGUAUCUGAAUUGGCGGCCAACGAUUUUGGCUGUGAGUCCUAUACUUCAAUGAAUGAUAAUACCAAAAUCUAGCCAGAGCCAUAGCUGUAGCCGCCAAUUCCGACACAGCCGUGUAGACCCAUAGGCCCUUGUUGAAAAGACGGCUUCGACUUUGGAUUCGGCUCAGGCUAUAUAGCUUGGCUCCGUCGGUUGAUUUGACAAUUGCGCAUGCUUUGUGUAACUGCGCCUCAGGGCUUCAGACAAGAGAACGGAGCCUCAAGCCAAACCCAAAGCCGAAGCCGAGGUUUGGAAAAGGGAGCUAGAUAUUUAUCAAGUUGUUACCAUCUUGUUACCCAAUUUAUAUAACUAUAGCCAAACCGAGGCUAGGAAAAAAAAUAGUCUGGCCCCUCAAUCUGAAUGAUCUGAAUGAGAAUUAGACAUUUGAUAAUAAACUAGGAACUAGAUGGUCAUAUAAAUCAAGAUAAAAGUCUGGAUGAUCUAUGAUUAGUUUUGUCUGAAUGUAAUUUGUAGUUUUUUAAGAUUUAUUUAAAGACACUGGACACUAUUGGUAAUCCAGUCUUCUUGGUGCCUCUC
This is a long non-coding RNA of Asterias rubens (European starfish), 2634 nucleotides long. RefSeq lists it as uncharacterized. The transcript is spliced from 6 exons. The record is from RefSeq and is a predicted model, not a curated record. NCBI's taxonomy places the organism in Eukaryota, Metazoa, Echinodermata, Asteroidea, Forcipulatida, Asteriidae.